Non-coding RNA from Cinara cedri, 118 nucleotides. The record is from the annotation of a GenBank genome assembly. NCBI's taxonomy places the organism in Eukaryota, Metazoa, Arthropoda, Insecta, Hemiptera, Aphididae.
GCCAAUGACCAUAACACGUUGAAUACACCGGUUCUCGUCCGAUCACUGAAGUCAAGCAAUGUCGGACGUAGUCAGUACUUGGAUGUGUGACCGUCUAGGAACAUUAAGUACGUAUAAC